This 90-nucleotide transfer RNA is filed under the name Annulohypoxylon moriforme. RNAcentral's name for it is "tRNA-Thr". It matches the Rfam family "tRNA". Rfam says of the family: Transfer RNA (tRNA) molecules are approximately 80 nucleotides in length. Their secondary structure includes four short double-helical elements and three loops (D, anti-codon, and T loops). The record is from RNAcentral. Lineage: Eukaryota; Fungi; Ascomycota; Sordariomycetes; Xylariales; Hypoxylaceae.
GCCCUUAUAGCUCAGUGGUAGAGCGCAGCACUCGUACUCUUACGUUACAAGUUCAUGCUGAGGUCCAUCGUUCAAUCCGGUGUGGGGGCA